UGUGGGAGGGGGCUUGCCCCCGAUGAAGGUGUGUCAGUCAAAUACCCUUCACUGACGCACUGCCAACGGGGGCAAGCCCCCUCCCACA
RNAcentral lists this unclassified non-coding RNA (88 nucleotides) under Pseudomonas grimontii. Lineage: Bacteria; Pseudomonadati; Pseudomonadota; Gammaproteobacteria; Pseudomonadales; Pseudomonadaceae. The record is from RNAcentral.